CCUGAGAAACCCAAAAGAUCGAAUGAGGAGAUUCAUCGUCAGCACAUUUUGUAUAUGUAUGAGUUAUGAUGCGGCUUACUGUUUCAGUAUUGCCUGUACAUUCUUGUAUAUUUAGUUGCAUUAUGUUGUCGGCGUGCACUUCUCCUCUAGUAGGACGUCGCGACCCGUUGGAUGUCGGUCUACGGCCCAAGUGAUAGUCUUUAGUGUAAUUAAAAAACAUUGAAGAUCCUUGGUGUUUUCUGACCGGCUAUUCGGCGGUACUCGUACGGUAUUUAGCCGCUAAUUUAUUAGCGUCCAUGCCCGUCACAAGCGAGGCUAAUUUUACUGAUAGUACGGACCAAGUGCCGUCGUUGGUAUUGGCCAGCUGUUGGUUGUACGGUGUUCUGGGACUGGCUAAAAACUUAAAUUACCGGUCAGCGAUGCUACUGCUUUGGGUACUUUCAGG
RNAcentral lists this ribosomal RNA (445 nucleotides) under Aleiodes sp. BCLDQ00873. RNAcentral describes it as "LSU rRNA". Lineage: Eukaryota; Metazoa; Arthropoda; Insecta; Hymenoptera; Braconidae. The record is from RNAcentral.